Molecule: ribosomal RNA, 636 nt
Filed under: Nebria murzini
Lineage: Eukaryota; Metazoa; Arthropoda; Insecta; Coleoptera; Carabidae
Description: partial large subunit ribosomal RNA
Rfam family: Bacterial large subunit ribosomal RNA (bases 391-550)
Source: RNAcentral
GUCCUUUAGAAUUUAAUUUAAGGUCUAGCCUGCCCACUGAAAUUAAUUUUAAAUGGCCGCAGUAAUUUGACUGUGCAAAGGUAGCAUAAUCAUUAGUUUUUUAAUUGAAAGCUUGUAUGAAAGGUUGGACGAGGUAAAAUCUGUCUCUAAUUAAUUUAAUUUAGAAUUUAACUUUUAAGUCAAAAGGCUUAAAUAUAAUUAAAAGACGAGAAGACCCUAUAGAUCUUUAUAAUUUUUUUUAUUAAAUUUAAUUAAGAAUUUUUUAAAUUUUAUUAAUCUAAUUAUUUUAUUGGGGUAAUAUAAAGAUUAAAUUAAUUCUUUUUUUUUAUUAACAUUAAUUUAUGAAUUUAUGAUCCAAUUUUAUUGGUUAUAAGAUUAAGUUACCUUAGGGAUAACAGCGUUAUUUUUUUAGAGAGUUCUUAUCGAUAAAAAAGUUUACGACCUCGAUGUUGGAUUAAAGAUUAUUUCAGGUGCAGAAGUUUGAAAAUUUUGGUCUGUUCGACCAUUAAAUCUUUACAUGAUCUGAGUUCAGACCGGUGUAAGCCAGGUCGGUUUCUAUCUUUAGUAAAUUAAAAUAUUUUAGUACGAAAGGACCAAUUAUUUAAUAUAAAAUAUUUAAAUUUUGAUUAUUAUUAA